This is a long non-coding RNA of Oxyura jamaicensis (ruddy duck), 334 nucleotides long. RefSeq lists it as uncharacterized. The record is from RefSeq and is a predicted model, not a curated record. NCBI's taxonomy places the organism in Eukaryota, Metazoa, Chordata, Aves, Anseriformes, Anatidae. The transcript is spliced from 3 exons.
GGGGGGAUGUGGGGUCCCCCCUGAGAGGGGGCGGUGGGGCUGGGGGUGGCCCCGGGACCCCCCUAAAUGGGCUGCCCCCCCCCCAGCCCGAGGGUUGCCAUGGGAACCAGAGGGCUUCUGAUGUCACGGGGAGGUUGCCACGCGACGGGCCCUGCAUGAUGUCACUGUCACCAUGGCGACAGCACGGGGGGAUUUGGGUCCCCCCCGGGGAUAGGGGGGGGGGGGGGGGGGGGCACUCCUGGCCCCCCGGGGGGACAGGCACCCGUGGGACCUCGCCCGAGGGGACUGCGAAUGCUUCUCAUUAAAAUAGUGGGAAAAAAAAUCCCCAAAAACA